Molecule: long non-coding RNA, 224 nt
Filed under: Elaeis guineensis (African oil palm)
Lineage: Eukaryota; Viridiplantae; Streptophyta; Magnoliopsida; Arecales; Arecaceae
Description: long non-coding RNA (EGUI_LNC018966)
Source: RNAcentral
GGGCGAACAGCCGAAACUGCUUCGGGAUGCAGUAUUGCUCCCUGAGCCGAUCGACGUUCGGCCCUGAAAGUGAAGAAACUUCCACCUCUGGGGUCGACCGAGAAUCGUCGGUCGGAUUCCCCGACCAACUUCCUCGUGGGGAGGUUCUGGCCAUGACGCUAGAACCGAGGUCGAAGGAUGAAGAAGAAGAAGGAAGAAAAUUCUAAGGAAGCAAAGAGAAAACG